UGGAGCCCUGAUGAUUUACAAGUUCCGAAGCGGGCGUUACUUCCCGUUAAAAUGCGGAAACUAUGUUAUUUAUACGUCUUUCGCUCCUAUCUGAGCUUCA
Molecule: small nucleolar RNA, 100 nt
Filed under: Chlamydomonas reinhardtii
Lineage: Eukaryota; Viridiplantae; Chlorophyta; Chlorophyceae; Chlamydomonadales; Chlamydomonadaceae
Description: CrCD53 snoRNA
Source: RNAcentral